CGGAUAGAUUAUUGUAUUCGACUGUAUUUACGGCGUGAAACAGGGAGUUACAUUAUUUUUAAAUGGAAAGUGGAUCAAUUAACAUAAUAGACUCUU
This is a non-coding RNA of Nicotiana tabacum (common tobacco), 96 nucleotides long. NCBI's taxonomy places the organism in Eukaryota, Viridiplantae, Streptophyta, Magnoliopsida, Solanales, Solanaceae. The record is from Rfam.